This 87-nucleotide transfer RNA is filed under the name Musa acuminata subsp. malaccensis (wild Malaysian banana). It matches the Rfam family "tRNA". Rfam says of the family: Transfer RNA (tRNA) molecules are approximately 80 nucleotides in length. Their secondary structure includes four short double-helical elements and three loops (D, anti-codon, and T loops). The record is from Rfam by way of RNAcentral. Lineage: Eukaryota; Viridiplantae; Streptophyta; Magnoliopsida; Zingiberales; Musaceae.
CCGACCUUAGCUCAGAUGGUAGAGCGGAGGACUGUAGUGUGGCACAGAUUAAUCCUUAGGUCGCUAGUUCGAAUCCGGCAGGUCGGA